This is a long non-coding RNA of Girardinichthys multiradiatus, 842 nucleotides long. RefSeq lists it as uncharacterized. The record is from RefSeq and is a predicted model, not a curated record. NCBI's taxonomy places the organism in Eukaryota, Metazoa, Chordata, Actinopteri, Cyprinodontiformes, Goodeidae. The transcript is spliced from 3 exons.
CAAGGGUAGCUAAUCAGAGGGAAAUCAGGAGAAGCUGGUGGGAGAGAACAUGCAGGCAACAGGAGAGUGGCUGAUCAACACAAAUGAGCAAAGAAUCCAGGGGAACAACAACACAUCUGAGAGAACAGAAGCAGCUGCAGCUGGUGGGUGGGCAGAGCAGAGAUGAGUGUAUUAGCCUCUGGCACACAUCUGCACCCUGGGACCAGUAGCUGAUGGCGCCAGCCAUCUUUGGCACCACAUCGUCCCUAAACCCCACACACCCGAGGCUGUGCACCUCAUGAGGUGCCGCUGGAGCUGCAGAGUCGAGAGCAUGACAGGUGUGGCUCCAUCAGCAGGAGACCUAUAAGAGGGAGGAUUGCCAGCACUUCGACGCCUGAGUGUUUUGCCUACCUGGUUUUUGAACCAAGCCACGACAACCCCCCUCAGGACAUGACUAAUUAUGGAUCUGUAACCAGCUGGCAGUCCGCUCUCUUGAGAUUAAGCAAACCCUGUCCACCCUCCAAUGGCCACCAGGACUGUAUCACCAAGCGUUGCUGGACUUUGAGCAGCCCGCUCUAACUUCUUCUCAGACUCGACAUUCUCUCUCCCUGGCGAAUCGAGCUUUCUGAACUGUAAGCAAAACUGCAAAUUAGAGAUCCCUUCGUAUGAACCAACACUUACCUGUCGUUGUCUUGCAGCUGCCCGUUUCUGGCCUGAGCCUCGUUCCAUUCAUUUCUGCCUUGCAGAAUAAACAACAUCUAAAUGGUCCUCUGUUUUUUGAGUGUUCUGUAUGUGGGUCAAAUCGGCCACAAAGAUUAUGACAGUUGGCACAACCAGUUAUUUGGUUUAGAGGCAAUAAUGUU